AUCGCUUUCGGCCUUUUGGCUCAGAUCAAGUGUAGUAUCUGUUCUUAUCAGUUUAAUAUCUGAUACGUCCCCCAUCGGGGGACUACAAUUAAAUGGAUUUUUCGAACAGGGAGUCGGAAAUGGGGCUUGCUCCGUCCGCUCCACGCAUCGACCCGGUAUUGCAGUACCUCCGGGAACGGUGCAACACUU
Molecule: small nuclear RNA, 189 nt
Filed under: Oncorhynchus tshawytscha (Chinook salmon)
Lineage: Eukaryota; Metazoa; Chordata; Actinopteri; Salmoniformes; Salmonidae
Description: U2 spliceosomal RNA
Rfam family: U2 spliceosomal RNA
About the family: U2 is a small nuclear RNA (snRNA) component of the spliceosome (involved in pre-mRNA splicing). Complementary binding between U2 snRNA (in an area lying towards the 5' end but 3' to hairpin I) and the branchpoint sequence (BPS) of the intron results the bulging out of an unpaired adenosine, on the BPS, which initiates a nucleophilic attack at the intronic 5' splice site, thus starting the first of two transesterification reactions that mediate splicing.
Source: Rfam by way of RNAcentral